CACUAGGUGUCUUUAAAUAGGAAGAGCUCACAUGUCUCGUUCCAGGAAAGUCCAGUACUGCUAAGUCAUUUUGGAUUCUUUGAAUUCCAGCCCCUUCCUUUGAAAAAAGGACACAUAAACCUUUCCUAUGUUACUUUUAAGAAGAUGUAAUACUCCAAUUACUCAAGUGGCAGCAUAAAUCUGCUCCUAAAACAAGAUAUUUAUACAACAAUAUAUUUCAAAAUUAUGGGACUGAGUGGAUGGCCCACUAUUUUAGUGGCACGGAAAGUGUUAUGGUUGAGCCUUCUGGCUCCGAUACUAGGAGACGAGGUCGUAAGACUCCUUGAGAGUCAGACUCUUUUGAGGAGCGUGAAAGGAAACGGCUCCGGGACUUAUUUGCAGAACCAACAGACGAAGACUCCUUUGAGGGUUUUACCGAGGGAAUGGAGGAAGAGAUGGUUAGCUCAGAGGAGGAUGACAUGGAAUGGACUCGUGUGAGGGAGGAUUUGGGUGUCACUGGCAAUGAUAGCAUGGGAGGCGACUGGCGGGUUGCAGGAUCGGACCCGUGGACGGGCUGGAGAGAUGGAACGGGAUCCACAGCUGGGGAUGCUGUGGGGUGUAGUCAAAGGUGUUUUAGUUCUGAUGAGGAUGAUGAUGAGGAGGCACCUGGAAUUAGGAUAGCAGCUGACAGCGAUGAGGAGUUAUGAACUGGCAUAAAAUGGGGUCUAGAAUCAAUGGCUAAUUGCGUUGGGCAAGGUAAUCUGGACGAACGCUUGGGCUCUUGUUGGGGAACUUCCUGAAGACGGGUGUGAUUCGUUUGCUGGAUACCUUGGACCUCCGUCGUCUUUUUGACGGACAUUAUUUGCCAACUCUGGAUUGACGCUGGACUGACUGACUGACUACGACUCUGGACUAACCCUUCUGUGGCUAUCGGUGGAACUUGUGGAACCUUAGAUGUCUGCGUUUGGCUUUCGACCUCAGACCGGAUUGGGACCCCGCUGACCGUCAUUACCCUGAUUGAUGUGCCUGUAUCUGGUUUUCGCCUGUUGCACGGAGGAGCAACAGCCCGAGUUACUUCUGUAGCUCUUGAGUAGCAGAGGGGAAUCUGCUGCUGGGUUUAGUGUUCAUUUUGACCUUUUGUUAACCAGUGUUGUUUGUUUAAUUGCCAGGCUGAAGUAAGCACCUUUGAUUUAACCCGGAUUAAACUUCUGUUUAAUCCGGUUUAUUCUUUUGAACUGUUUAGACUCAAACGAAGCUAUUUUUGUUACUUUUUAUACUGAAGACAAGUGUUUGCCUAGUCUUUUGUUUCCUACGGGCAAUUUUUAGUUCUGUAACCUCAAUAAACUGUGUUGUAUUCUAUUUGGAGGCGUUCUGUCUAUGACAGAAACAAUGUGCAAACACAGCAAAAGGAAUGUUGUUCUGGGAGGGGAAAUAUAAAUGUAUUUCUAAUGUUUAUAUUAGCACCAAAGACACCUGACUAGUUUCUUACAGCAUUAUUAUAAUCCUCAUGUAACAACUGGAAAUUUCUUGCUGUUCCAAGGACCAAGCAGAGCAUAGGCCUCAUCUACACUUAUGUUAUAUGUGUUGAUAGGGGUUGUUGUUAUAAUUUUAUGUGACUUAUUUUAUACUUUUGUACCGUUUUUAACUGUUGUAUGUUAUAUGUGCACCCUGGAGUGCCUUGUAAGCUUCCCCGAGUCCCUUCAGGGAGAUGGUGGCGGGAUAUAAAUAAAGAUAAUGGUGAUGGUGAUGAUUAUUAUUACACUGCCCAUUUAAUGCAGUUUUAAACUGAUACUGAAGAAAGUGGUUUUGAUGUUCAUAUGAUUACAUAGGAAAUCAUGGAAACAGAUUACAUAGGAAAUCCUGGAAUCAGUUACAUAAACCAUAUAGCACCGAUACACAUUAGGGCUUUUGUUUUGCGCGUUUUCGGGGAGUUUGUUGUCUGGUUGCUAGUUUUGAACUGUAUCAAAUGGUCAGUGGAGAUGGGGCCAUAGAAUAUUAAGACACACGAAGUGACACUAGCAUGAAAAUUCACCAUAUGUGACCAUUCUAUAUUUCACUCUUUGGUGUUAUGGACAUUCUCCGGAAAGAACACAUUAACAGAAACUGAUAUGCAAUGGGGCUGAGUGGCUGAAGCUGACUUAAAGUGGUACUUGAGUCCUGGGAUAUUAUGGAAUUAUUCUCUCUCGUUCUC
Long non-coding RNA from Anolis carolinensis (green anole), 2170 nucleotides. RefSeq lists it as uncharacterized. The transcript is spliced from 2 exons. The record is from RefSeq and is a predicted model, not a curated record. NCBI's taxonomy places the organism in Eukaryota, Metazoa, Chordata, Lepidosauria, Squamata, Anolidae.